This 259-nucleotide ribosomal RNA is filed under the name Escherichia coli. Its description in RNAcentral is "partial 16S ribosomal RNA". It matches the Rfam family "Bacterial small subunit ribosomal RNA", at positions 1 to 256 of the family's 1533-position model. Lineage: Bacteria; Pseudomonadati; Pseudomonadota; Gammaproteobacteria; Enterobacterales; Enterobacteriaceae. The record is from RNAcentral.
AAAUUGAAGAGUUUGAUCAUGGCUCAGAUUGAACGCUGGCGGCAGGCCUAACACAUGCAAGUCGAACGGUAACAGGAAGCAGCUUGCUGCUUUGCUGACGAGUGGCGGACGGGUGAGUAAUGUCUGGGAAACUGCCCGAUGGAGGGGGAUAACUACUGGAAACGGUAGCUAAUACCGCAUAACGUCGCAAGACCAAAGAGGGGGACCUUAGGGCCUCUUGCCAUCGGAUGUGCCCAGAUGGGAUUAGCUAGUAGGUGGG